UACGUAGGGUGCGAGCGUUGUCCGGAAUUACUGGGCGUAAAGAGCUCGUAGGUGGUUUGUCGCGUUGUCCGUGAAAACUCACAACUCAAUUGUGGGCGUGCGGGCGAUACGGGCAGACUGGAGUACUGCAGGGGAGACUGGAAUUCCUGGUGUAGCGGUGGAAUGCGCAGAUAUCGGGAGGAACACCAAUUGCGAAGGCAGCUUGCUGGGACGAUACUGACGCUGAGGCGCGAAAGCGUGGGGAGCAAACAGG
This 253-nucleotide ribosomal RNA is filed under the name uncultured bacterium. Its description in RNAcentral is "partial 16S ribosomal RNA". It matches the Rfam family "Bacterial small subunit ribosomal RNA", at positions 524 to 776 of the family's 1533-position model. The record is from RNAcentral.